AUUGAACGCUGGAGGCAGGCCUAACACAUGCAAGUCGAACGAGUGGCGGACGGGUGAGUAAUGUCUGGGAACUGUCUGAUGGAGGGGGAUAACUACUGGAAACGGUAGCUAAUACCGCAUACUAUCGGAUAAACCCAAUGGGAUUAGCUAGUAGGUGAGGUAAUGGCGCACCUUGGCGACGCUCCCUAGAUGGUCUGAGAGGAUGAUCAUCAACACUGGGACUGAUACACGGCCCAGACUCCUACGGAGGCAGCAGUGGGGAAUAUUGCACAAUGGGCGCAAGCCUGAUGCAGCCAGGCCGCGUGGAGGAAGAAGGCCCUAGGGUUGUAAAGUACUUUCAGUCGGGAGGCGUUACCGACAGAAGAAGCACCGGCUAACUCCGUGCCAGCAGCCGCGGUAAUAC
This 403-nucleotide ribosomal RNA is filed under the name uncultured bacterium. RNAcentral's name for it is "partial 16S ribosomal RNA". It matches the Rfam family "Bacterial small subunit ribosomal RNA", at positions 30 to 526 of the family's 1533-position model. The record is from RNAcentral.